GCUGGGCAUUGUGGUGGGUGCCUGUAAUCCCAGCUACUCAGGAGGCUGAGGCAGGAGAAUCACUUGAACCCAGGAGAUGGAGGUUGCAGUGAGCCAAGAUCGUGCCACUGCACUCCAGCCUGGGUGACAGAGUGAGAUUCCAUCUCAA
This is an unclassified non-coding RNA of Pongo abelii (Sumatran orangutan), 148 nucleotides long. It matches the Rfam family "Metazoan signal recognition particle RNA". From Rfam's summary of the family: The signal recognition particle (SRP) is a universally conserved ribonucleoprotein. NCBI's taxonomy places the organism in Eukaryota, Metazoa, Chordata, Mammalia, Primates, Hominidae. The record is from Ensembl.